Molecule: long non-coding RNA, 218 nt
Filed under: Cavia porcellus (domestic guinea pig)
Lineage: Eukaryota; Metazoa; Chordata; Mammalia; Rodentia; Caviidae
Description: lncRNA (ENSCPOG00000031220.1)
Source: RNAcentral
CUGUGCCUUGUUGGCUCAUGGUAGUUACCAGUGUGAAACCGUUGUCUUCAUUUUGCGUAUAUUUUUCAGGUCUGCAAAAGAUGAUUUUACGUCUAUUAUUGGGAAAUGUCAAGCUAGCAGCCUUUUUGUUGUGCCGAAAAAUUCAGAAUAGGAGAGAAUCGAGGAGCUGGAUUAUUAGGAUUAUGAAGGUAUUGAUUAUCGCAGUCUUAUGAUUGUGU